RNAcentral lists this long non-coding RNA (3435 nucleotides) under Betta splendens (Siamese fighting fish). Its description in RNAcentral is "lncRNA (ENSBSLG00000011795.1)". The record is from RNAcentral. Lineage: Eukaryota; Metazoa; Chordata; Actinopteri; Anabantiformes; Osphronemidae.
GUCUUUAGUUAAGUACAUGUCACGUGUACUUUACUAUGCACUUUUACUUUACAUAAGUAUUUCCUUUCAUGCAAAACAAUGUAAAUUCUCUCUCGCUCGUCUGGCACUUGUUCCUCACGGAGAUGAAACAUUCAUUUCAGAGUCCGACAGACGCUUGAUUUCUCACUGCAUCUGCCUAUUGCAUUUACAGUCACGUGCCCAAACUAAGCCUUAAUUGAGGGACUCAGGUGCGACAUCUUCACCUGUAGGGGGCGUCCUGCCACAAGCAGCGGCGGACCUGACUCCCUGCAGCCAAUCGCGGCUUUGACAAGUUCAGCGAAGUUUCGGUUCCUCGUUCAGCGGAAGUAUCGCUGUCAACUCGCCGCUUUGAGAUGUUUGCGAUCCGGCCGGCUCAGGUGGAGCCCCGCGGUCACGGGCUCCGGGUGUGAGACGGCAGAGAUGUAUCGCCUGCGCUGUGGCGUCGCGCUGGCCUUCGUCCUCCUGUGUUACUUCUCGGACGUCGCGCGCGCGCUCGUGCAGGGCGGCGUGUGUGUCUUCUUGUGUCUCGCAACGCCGGGUUUAUUACGCAGCCUUAGACGCGAGAGCAGCACCCAGACGGACGAGGAGGCGAAGGAGGCGACGCACAAGGAAACUAAGACAGACUCGUCGGGCGACCUGCCUGACGGAGGAUCCACGGCGCCGGCCGAGCCACUGGGACCCAGUACCCAGUACCCACAUGUGAGGAAGUCUCUCCAGCAGGCGUUCGAGAGCGCCUACGCUCAGCUGCUGCUGCCCUGGUACCGCGUCCCCGAGCCCAGCGAGCGCCAGCCUCUGCACCGGGUGCUCAGCAGGGAGUCUGAUUUCGUGAUCGAGCGCGUAAUUGAGCGAGCCGGGCACUUUGAUGUGUACCAGGUGGUUGUGGGCUCCAUCCGCGUCUUGACCCAGCACUUGCAUAACGCCAAGCAGCCGACCAGGGAGCUGCCGCUCGGCUCCCGAGAGAAGGAGAUUGCAGUCCUCCGAGACUUCUCGGACGUUCUCGUGCGGAACCUUUUUUCCAGCUCCCUGUGGGGUCAAGGAGUCACCCGCUGCGUCCUGAGGGAGCUCUUGGCUGUAAAGGGCUUGGGCCUGUUGGUGACAUGGCUGUCGGACCCAGACACCCUGAACCAGCUGGUGGUGAGCCAGCUCGGCAGCGUGACCCCCAAGGGCUCGGCGGAGGAUCUGAGUGGAUCGGGCCGGGAGCGGGCGUCCCUGGUUCCGCCGGAGAGCAAGGGCGAUGGCGAGGGCAGCGAAGGGAGUUUGCAGGAAGAGACCCGGACCGAGAUCAAGGGCAAAAGCAGAGGUCAGAAGUUAAGGGAAAAAUUGUCAAAGUUGAAGGAAAAGAUCAGGAUCAAGAAGAAAAAGCCCAAAGCGCGGCAGGAAGGUCCGGAAUUGCUGACGACUGACUGCAUGUCUGAUGAGGAGGGCGUCCGCUUCAGAGAGGGCUCCGUUCACAGCCAGGAGGACUCUGACCGGGACAGCGAUCCGGAGAGCCACCUGGCCAGCCUGGAGGACAUGAUGGAGUUCAAGCUGUCGUACAAAAUGUGGUGCGUGGGCCAAUGGGCGGUCAGCAUCCCUCAUGCCGAGUGGGAGGACGAGGACCUGAUCCUCGGCGUCCACCUGGCGGAGACGGACAGCCCGGAGACGCUGCAGUGGAGCCUCAGGAAGAGCUACAUGGACGUGGUUCGUUUUCGCAACAGGCUGCAGAGACCUGUUGAGGACGAGCUUCAGGACGCCCGGCUCCCCGCACUCAUCGAGCUUGAGGAUUCGGAGGCCGACGACGAGGUCAAGGAAAGCGCCCGAGCGUCGGUGCAGCGCUUCCUGCAGGGAGUGGUCUCUGAUUCUGAGAUCUGCAACACUGAGGCGGUUUUCAAGUUUCUGUGUCCACUUAAAAUACUUCUGAAUGAGGAGGAGGACGGCGGGGGCGUGUGGGGGCUUCUCAGCGGCUUGGCCAACUUCCUGGCUCCAGGUCAGGAUGAGGAUGAGAAUUCUAGUCCUCGAACAGAAGCCCCACAGGAAAUCACAGGGCAAUCUCCACUCCCACCACCUCCAGCUCUGCCUUCAGAAAACCAUGAUGCCUCCGCUGAGAAGGGCAGCGACGGCGCAGGCGCUGCGCUUCCAGCCAUCACUGUCAGCCGCUGCGACCCUCCAUCAGUGUUUGAGGGAGAGGCUGGAAAGGCAGCAAAACCUGCUGUUGAGUCCGACUCUAAGAACAGCGAAAACUGCCCCCAAGAAAAACUGGAGGACGCUGAUAACUCCUUAACCAUAAACUCUGCAAUGCCCAAAGAGAGGUCUCUGUCGCAAGAGUCGCUGGUGUCGAGAAGCAGCAGCAACGAAGACCUGCUGGAAACGGACCACUUCCAAAAGAGAGCGGCUGGAAAGGAGCCGACGUUUAAAUUAAAUGCAAAGGAAAAUAAAAGGGAUAAGUGGAAGUUUGGUGGCGCGAACAAGGCUAAAGGCGAAGGCAAGGCAAAGGGGGAGGACUCUCCGCAUCAGAAGGCCCACGGCGGCGGCGAGCACCAGGAGGCCGCCAGAGCCGUGUUCGAUCUGCUGAAGGAAAUAUCCGGAAACUCCAUCGCCUUUAACUUAUUUGACGCCAUUUUGACGCCGUUCAUGCCCAUUGUGAAAAUGAAGGUGAACUCCUUUCUCAACAAGCUGAACCCCACGGAGCAGCAGGUGGCCGCCUACAUCGACCGUCUGCAGGGCGGAGCGGGGCCCGAGUCUCCGCCGGCGCCGGCGCCGCGCACCGACGGGGACAAGGACGAGACGAGGGCGCGCGCGCAGGGCCUCCUCGGCACCAAAUGUUUGGGCCUUCUGAUCCUGAAAAAGGCCGACGUGGAGACUGUUUUUAAGCUUUUUCAGAAGACGGAAGAAAACAAAACGCUGGUGUUUGAGCUCCUGUCGUUCCUGUUGGGAGAGCUGUUUCCUGGUGAUCGCUCUGUGACUGCAGCCCUGCAGCAAGUUAAGAAGUCCAGUUGAAUUGUAUUUUUAAUGUCCUUAUUCUGUCUUGACUUUUUUAAGAAUCUCACAAUAUUUAUUAACUGUCUUAAAACCCCUUAAAUGAUUUUGGCAUGAUUGCCUUCAUUCUUUAAACAUGUGAAUUUCGCCUUUUCUCGUUGUCCGUGUUCGUUUGUGGAUGAUGAAUAGUGACUUAUUUGUAUGUGGGAGCCAAUUUUAUGCGUUUUUGUUCGCACAUUCAGAAUUUAAAUAUCACUCCUCACUUUCAGAUACUGUUUCUAAAGUCAUUUGUCACUUUGAGCACGUGUUUAUGUAUGUCACAGCUGCCACUGUAACCACAUGAAUCUGUCAAAACAUGGGCAACGUGCCUGUGAAGCCGAACUUGAAAUAUUGGUCCUGUAAGAAACUUGAAUAUAUUCCAAAUGAAAUGUUUUAAUAAAGCUACACAUUUUUAUUUAUACA